CUAUGCUAAACUUCUACACUGGAAGCUAGCAUCUCUCAUCCAUCAUUUGAACUCCGAAGUUAAGCGUGCUUGGGCGAGAGUAGUACUAGGAUGGGUGACCUCCUGGGAAGUCCUCGUGUUGCAUCNN
RNAcentral lists this ribosomal RNA (127 nucleotides) under Oryza meridionalis. The record is from RNAcentral. Lineage: Eukaryota; Viridiplantae; Streptophyta; Magnoliopsida; Poales; Poaceae.